Molecule: ribosomal RNA, 497 nt
Filed under: uncultured bacterium
Lineage: Bacteria
Description: partial 16S ribosomal RNA
Rfam family: Bacterial small subunit ribosomal RNA
Source: RNAcentral
GAUGAACGCUGGCGGCGUGCCUAAUACAUGCAAGUCGAGCGAACAGACUAGGCGCUUGCUCCUCUGACGUUAGCUGCGGACUGGGGAUUAACACGUGGAUAACCUACCUAUAAGACUGGGAUAACUUCGUGAAACCGGAGCUAUUUCCGGAUAAUAUAUUGAACCGCAUGGUUCAAUAGUGCAAGACGUCUUUGCUUUCACUUAUAGAUGGCUUCGCGCCGCAUUAGCUAGUUGGUGAGGGAACGGGAUAACAAGGCAACGAUGGGUAGCCGACCUGAGAGGGUGAAGGGCCACACGGGAACUGAGAAACGGUACAGACACCUAAGGGAGGAAACAGUAGGGAAUCUUACGCAAGGGGCGAAAGCCUGACGGAGCAAAGCCGCGGGAAGGAUGAAGGACUAAGGAUCGGAAAACGCAGUAAGUAGGGAAGAACAAAUGUGUAAGUAACUAUGCACGUGUUGACGGUACCUAAUCAGAAAGCCACGGCUAACUACGUG